RNAcentral lists this transfer RNA (63 nucleotides) under Myrmecocephalus concinnus. Its description in RNAcentral is "tRNA-Cys". The record is from RNAcentral. Lineage: Eukaryota; Metazoa; Arthropoda; Insecta; Coleoptera; Staphylinidae.
AGCCUUAUAUUCACAAAUGAUAUUAAAUUGCAAAUUUAAAGGAGAAAUAUAAUUCUAAGGCUU